GUAAAAUGCUGUGGUGAAAAAGCAGUCUUGAAAGUGUGGCAAUAUGUGAAUUGGCCAAGCAAGUUAAAGAGCUCUGAAAUCAGGCUGUUGUUUCCUGCAGUGUUCCUGAGAGGAGGUUAUUGCAAGGUGGGGGUUGGUCUCUUCUCCCAGAUAUCAACAAUAGGUUGAGAGAUAACAGCCUUAUGCUGCAGUAUGCCAUGAAGUGCAGCUGCCACAGCAAUGUGUGGGAGAGCUGGGCCCAAAUUCCUCCAGAUGCCUGGCAAUCAGGCUAAAUUGCUGCUGGUUUGAUCAAAAGGACAAACAAGUUGGCGAUAACACAUGACUGUAUUGACAGGCAGCCCUCACAACACCCAUAGAAGCUGAAUAGAGGAAAGGUAGGACAGGACUUCAGUGCAUAGCCUAACAAUUAGAUUGCCUGUUUCUGUUUUACUUUUCCACUAAAUGCUAUUCUACUUGACAUUUGUCUGUUUACCACUAUAAUUUUAAAUUGUAUUAUUGAAAUAAAGGGUCAUAUGUGAAAGCCACAAAUGAUAGCUCCUUCAGUGCAUUCCUUGUGGUUUUCACUCAUAGUGUUUUUGACUUGCAAAGGAUUUGGCAAUUGUAUAUACAGUGUGUCUACUAGGAAAGAAAAGAAACUUGUUUUGGACCAGUUUAUUAAAUCAUGAAUCUUCUUUGCCAUGUAUGUGUGUAAUCUGGUGGGGCAGGUUCACGGAAGGUAUUUCUGUGGUUACAGGUCUAUGUGCACCCAGCAAACUGCUAGCAACGUGUGGGGUAAAUCAUGCAAAAUGAUGGUUUUCUGAUUUUUUUUUAGUUUUUUUUUUUAGUGUGGGGAACAAGUUAUGUAAGGCUUAUCUCUCAGAAGUUGGGCUGUUUAGGAAGCAGUUUAGGAAGACAUGAAGGAAUCGCAUGAGCAUUUGGAGGGAGAGGAAACUGAGUUGAGGCACAGAAUAACUUGCAGUAGAUAAGUGCUCUAAAAGUUCUUAAGAAAAGGUACUAUAGGAACUAGGUACUAUUAGGAACAUGUGAAAGAUGAAAAAGUUCAAAAUAAUUACAUUAAUUAACAUCCCCCAUGAAUGCUUGGGGAGUGGGUCACAAGGAGGAAGAAGUUUGAGACAGUAGUAGACCAGUCAACCUCAUACUGACAGCCCAAAGGAAAAAGGACCUGUCUGUUAAUAACCUCAUAGAGGAUAAUAAGGUGAUUAAAAAUAGACCAUGUGGAUUUAUAGUGUAUGAAUUGUGACAUUCCUGUAGCAGGAUAGAAACUGCCAAGCGGAUAAAAAGUGGCAGAUGUGAUAUAUUGUGAACUAUUGUGAAAUGGUGAUAUUCCUCAAUAGCACUUGGAUAAACUUAGCAGUUGUUUCCACUAUCCACCACUCAGGAAUUCUUAGAAUCAUCAGGGAUGUGGUAUAAGAGCAAGUCAUUGAGCAAGGCAGCUUCCACUUAUGACUCACUCUUUGCUGGUCUAGGGCAGCUUGCAAUUAUUCAGACAUGUUCUGGCAAGGAAGUCUGGCUCUUCCUCACUUACUCUUUGCUGCUUACUCUCAGACAGCAUCUCAGACUCAAUAUACAGCAAACCUACAGUUCUUGAUUCCUGGUGACCACAAUGCAACCCCUAUGUAUUACAACGCACGUAGUAUUUAGAUAUUCUGCUAUAGCUUAGUAUGAAGUAUUACACCCAACACUAAAAUUGACUGAAAUUAUUUAAUGAUGGUGGUUUACACUGAGGUUUUGAGAUGAUAUUUUGCUGCUAUUUUGCCAUGUGGUACCAAGAGGUGCUGGGUGAAAAUGUGAUCCUAGUAAUAUCAGUAAUAACAAUUCUGGUGACCUUAAUAAAGCAAGAAUUGUGCUGAAGAGAACAGAAAAAAGAAAUGCAGCCAGCUUGAAACUUGGAAAUAACAGUACAUAACAAAAGUUAUAUUUGAAGACCAGCAAAAUAGAUGCUCGGACAUGAGCACUCAUGUUUGCUAAGCCUGGAUGCAGGGAAGUAUUGUGCUGAGGCAAUAGAGGUUUGCUGCUUUUUUUCCCCAGUCUUUGGCUGGAUAAGUUAACUGUGCUUUGUAGUAGGACAUGUGAAGAGUGUUGGAGAAUGAUCAGCACUCUCAGUUUGUGGAUGAUGAAAUGUGUGUAGGCCACAGGCAGUAUUUAAUCCAACAUCAUACAGCAGGGGCAGACGUCAUUUUGUAUUUCUCUGUAUGUAUAUAAGGAGGGUACAAGGAUAAAGCUGAAGAACGUUAUAGCAUAUUUAUGUGCUUAGUUUAUUAUAUGCUAUUAAUAAUUGUCAGGGACAAAUACAAACCGCAAAAUAUUGAUAAGAUUUAAGAUAUUUUUUGGGAGAUUUUUCUGGAAGAGGUGUAUCAUUGUUACCUGGUACAUUCAGCAUGCUGUUAAACAGCUAAAUUGUUGGUAAUGAAAGUUGUUUCAGAUCAGAAAUGUUUUACUGUAUCUGUAAAUUAAAGAAAAAAUCAGCUCUGACUUUCUGUUCUUUCAAGCUGCAGGCUACAAUAUUGACUAACCUUGGAGAAAGUGAGGGUUUUUUUUUUAGGACAUUUUAAAGAAAUAAAAAUAAUUCCAUUUGUGGAAUGCCCCCUUUUAACAGUUAUGUUUAUAAGAAAAAAAUGCAUAACACAACACACAUCUUUGUGUGGUGCAAGUUCUGAUUCAAUUGAAAUACAUUCCAUUUCAGAAAUUGUAUUAUGUUCUGAAAAGUUAAAUAUGAGCUUGAAAAUGUGGAAGUAAAUUAGGUCCUUUCAUUCUCUCCCCGGUAAACUUUAACAAAUAAAAUUUAAUAUCUUUGAGGGAUGAAUGAUUGAGAGUAGUGAAAACAGCCUCUAUGGAUUUGGGUCAUGCACUCAAUCAUUUCUUCUGAACUUAAGCAUAGCUGUGAGAAACAACCUUAGUUCUUUAUACAUUAAAGCCUGGGUCUUAACUCUGUGCUUUUGUCACAAUUUGAUGCCGAGAUAUAAAUCACUAAACAGAAGUGUCCAUAAAGACUCAUUAUAAGAGGGCCUUCUGUGAAUAUCAUUGAUUGAUUUGCUGAUUUACUGCAUGCUCACCAUUGAUCAGAUGAAGUUCUCAGUUUGCUGAAAGUAUUCCAUGUUGCUAUUAAUGAAAAUAAGCACACAAACUCUGACACCGUGUCUUUACCAAGCCUAGUUUGAGCUCGGUAUAAC
RNAcentral lists this long non-coding RNA (3170 nucleotides) under Gallus gallus (chicken). The record is from RNAcentral. Lineage: Eukaryota; Metazoa; Chordata; Aves; Galliformes; Phasianidae.